RNAcentral lists this unclassified non-coding RNA (207 nucleotides) under Hevea brasiliensis (rubber tree). Lineage: Eukaryota; Viridiplantae; Streptophyta; Magnoliopsida; Malpighiales; Euphorbiaceae. The record is from RNAcentral.
CGGAUAGUAAUCUUAUAACUCCUGCGAUUAAUGUUACUGUGAAUUGCUCGUGUGGGGACAGGGUCAUUUCCAAGGAUUAUGGGUUGUUCAUCACGUAUCCUNNNNNNNNGUCAAUUGCAAGUCGGUUCAAUGUUACUGCUGAGGAGCUGCAGAGAUAUAACGUUGGUGCCAAUUUUAGUGGAGGAAGUAGUUUGCUGUAUAUUCCAG